UUGAACGCUGGCGGCCGGCCUUACACCUGCCAGUCGAGCGGAUGACGGGAGCUUGCUCCUGGAUUCAGCGGCGGCCGGGUGGGUAAUGCCUAGGAAUCUGCCUGGUAGUGGGGGAUAACGUCCGGAAACGGGCGCUAAUACCGCAUACGUCCUGAGGGAGAAAGUGGGGGAUCUUCGGACCUCACGCUAUCAGAUGAGCCUAGGUCGGAUUAGCUAGUUGGUGGGGUAAAGGCCUACCAAGGCGACGAUCCGUAACUGGUCUGAGAGGAUGAUCAGUCACACUGGAACUGAGACACGGUCCAGACUUCUACGAGAGGCAGCAGUGGGAAAUAGUGGACAAUGGGCGAACGUCUGAUACAGCCAUGCCGCGUGUGAAGAAGGUCUUCGGAUUGUAAAGCACUUUAAGUUGGGAGGAAGGGCAGUAAGUUAAUACCUUGCUGUUUUGACGUUACCAACAGAAUAAGCACCGGCUAACUUCGUG
RNAcentral lists this ribosomal RNA (481 nucleotides) under uncultured bacterium. RNAcentral's name for it is "partial 16S ribosomal RNA". It matches the Rfam family "Bacterial small subunit ribosomal RNA", at positions 30 to 507 of the family's 1533-position model. The record is from RNAcentral.